GACGAACGCUGGCGGCGUGCUUAACACAUGCAAGUCGAGCGGCAAGGCCCUACGGGGUUCUCGAGCGGCGAACGGGUGGGUAACACGUGAAUAACCUGCUCCAGACCUUGGGAUACCCGGCGGAAAAGGGGGGUAAUACUGCGUACGAACCAGCUUCGCCCGGGGGCUGUGUGGAAAGGUUUUCGGUUUGGGAUGGGGUCGAGGCCUAGCAUCUUGUUGGUGGGGUGUUGGGGUACAAAGGCGAAGACGGGUAGCCGGCCUGAGAGGGUGACCGGCCACACUGGGACUGAGACACGGGCCAGACGCCUACGGGGGGCAGCAGUGGGGAAUAUUGCACAAUGGGCGGAAUCCGGAUGCAGCGACGCCGCGUGGGGGAUGACGGCCUGUGGGGUGUAAACAUCUUUCGGCUGGGACGAAGCGUAAGUGACGGUACCUGCAGAAGAAGCGCCGGCUAACUACGUG
This 462-nucleotide ribosomal RNA is filed under the name uncultured bacterium. Its description in RNAcentral is "partial 16S ribosomal RNA". It matches the Rfam family "Bacterial small subunit ribosomal RNA", at positions 28 to 507 of the family's 1533-position model. The record is from RNAcentral.